AUCUAUCUACACCCAUUGGCAUUUUAGAGAAGCAUACGACUCGCGAAAGAUAUCCAACGGCAUAGAAUAAACAUGCAGAAUGGUGUAUUACUUCAGAGCGGGAGUUGCAGAAUAUCUAGUUGAUUUAUAAGGCAGAGGUAAGGCAGCAUCUGAUGAAUUGUCUCCUGUUCUGAACGACCCCGUGUUUGUUUCAAUUUUUUCACCUUUCCAAUGAGUGCUAUACAAAAGAUGUAAGCAGCGGGAGAAACGUAAGGACACACCCCACCGUAUAGAUAGGGCAACAACAAACUACAUUUAAAUUACAUUUUGCCGACUUCCACUUGAAUAAAUUACACCAAAUAUUGGCUCUCAA
This is a long non-coding RNA of Hermetia illucens (black soldier fly), 352 nucleotides long. RefSeq lists it as uncharacterized. The record is from RefSeq and is a predicted model, not a curated record. The transcript is spliced from 2 exons. NCBI's taxonomy places the organism in Eukaryota, Metazoa, Arthropoda, Insecta, Diptera, Stratiomyidae.